RNAcentral lists this transfer RNA (75 nucleotides) under Rhizomicrobium sp. SCGC AG-212-E05. Its description in RNAcentral is "tRNA-Asn". It matches the Rfam family "tRNA". From Rfam's summary of the family: Transfer RNA (tRNA) molecules are approximately 80 nucleotides in length. Their secondary structure includes four short double-helical elements and three loops (D, anti-codon, and T loops). Further hydrogen bonds mediate the characteristic L-shaped molecular structure. tRNAs have two regions of fundamental functional importance: the anti-codon, which is responsible for specific mRNA codon recognition, and the 3' end, to which the tRNAs corresponding amino acid is attached (by aminoacyl-tRNA synthetases). tRNAs cope with the degeneracy of the genetic code in two manners: having more than one tRNA (with a specific anti-codon) for a particular amino acid; and 'wobble' base-pairing, i.e. permitting non-standard base-pairing at the 3rd anti-codon position. The record is from RNAcentral. Lineage: Bacteria; Pseudomonadati; Pseudomonadota; Alphaproteobacteria; Micropepsales; Micropepsaceae. RNAcentral also lists the same sequence under 5 other names.
UCCUCGGUAGCUCAGUGGUAGAGCAAUCGGCUGUUAACCGGUUGGCCGCAAGUUCGAAUCUUGCCCGGGGAGCCA